CGCAUUGCCGUAAAAAAACUGAGUUCAAACACGGAAUGAGAUGAAAAUAUAAUCCGCGUUUAAGAAGAAUACAAGUGACAGUUUCACGCAUAUCGAUUAAAUGGUAUGGUCUCGGCAGCAAUAAUCCGGGUCCUCUAUACAACAGCAUGCCACAUCCCAACAGCAGGGACUACGACGGCGACGUUGUGCAGGAUGCAGCAUCCCCAUUUAAGGUUUAGCAGCCAGCUAUGACUAUUCCAAUUUCAAAGGUUAAGAUGUUGGUUUACAGUAAAAUAGUUUUUAGUCACUACCUAUUUAUUUACCAAAAUUUUUUAUAUGGGAAAAUCAUUUUCCAAGGUACUAACAAAUUUUUACACAGUUAUAAUGUAAGUAAUAUUGUAUACUGCAAAACUUUCAGAUGACAUAAUUAUUUUUAAUUUUGUUCUUUUUGUUCUUUUGUUUUUGCUCCUUAUUUUCUAUAAAUUUCACUCAACAGCUUUUUUUGUGGAUAAACUUUAUAUAGUUGCAAAAAUCGAGAAAUGAACGCAAUAUAAUCGGCGAAUGUAAAGAACAAGUAAUUUGCAUUAUUAUUGAAAGUCGCGUGCACAACUUAAUUUUAGGGAAAGAGCGGGGAAGGGUGGAAGUUAAGAGUUAAGUGUUAAGUGUGCAUAAGAUAAUAGUAUACAUAGAAUGUCCAGUCAGAAUUAACUCUUACCUUGCUGCACGCUAGCCCUAAUAUUUUCUGGUCUCGGCCGCCGGUAAAUACAACAUUGAAUAAGUUGCAUACUAUGAUUAAAACCGCAACGGCAAACUAAUUCAUUGUGUUUUUCAGAAACGUCAACAUGGCAUGAUAACAAAGUUAAAUUUAUUGCGACAAAUUGCAGAGGUCAACGCGAUGAGCACGCACACCAUUCAAGUCAGGAACUCAGCAAAUUUUGGCACUUGGUUACAAAUUGGCUCUUAAUAGGUCAAUCGCGUUACUUGAUUCCUUGAUACUAGUCACUGGCCCAUAACUCGAUCUACUAGAGGCGACAUGCAACCAUAUUCGCAAAAAGUGUAACAAUGAGGUCGCUGAGGCAGGUACCAAAAAUUAUGUUUUUCUUAUUCUUUUUUACUAAUCGGUUUCCGUUCCCAUAACAUGAUUUGUUAUCCAUUAAAUGCCGAAAACUGAGACGUCCAUGACGAACUACGAUUGAAACUGUUUAGCACAACGUCUAACUUUAACUCUGGUCAAAUGUCGGGCAUUUCCGAAAUACGAAAGCCGAAAAUGUCAAAAUAAAGUUUUUCUAACCCGAACAACUAGCAAUCCUAAUACAUAAUCGGUAUGAAUACCCAAAUUUAACUUUAAAGACUGAAGGAUGGAAAGAGGGACAAAAUAAAGUUUUUCUAAGCCAAAAA
Molecule: long non-coding RNA, 1377 nt
Organism: Drosophila eugracilis
Lineage: Eukaryota; Metazoa; Arthropoda; Insecta; Diptera; Drosophilidae
Exons: 2
Source: RefSeq, a predicted model, not a curated record